Molecule: long non-coding RNA, 663 nt
Filed under: Salmo salar (Atlantic salmon)
Lineage: Eukaryota; Metazoa; Chordata; Actinopteri; Salmoniformes; Salmonidae
Description: lncRNA (ENSSSAG00000121460.1)
Source: RNAcentral
GUGCUGAUGAAGGGUUGAGCUAUGAUGAGGAUGAUGAGUUGAUGAGGACGAUGAGUUGAUGAGGAUGAUGUGUUAAUGUCAAGGAUGAUGAGGUCAAUGAAGGUGCUGAUGAAGGGUUGAGCUAUGAUGAGGAUGAUGUGUUGAUGAGGAUGAUGAGUUGAUGAGGACGAUGUGUUGAUGAGGAUGAUGAGGACGAUGUGUUGAUGAGUUGAUGAGGAUGAUGUGUUGAUGAGGAUGAUGUGUUGAUGAGAAUGAUGAGGAUGAUGUGAUGAUGAGGAUGAUGUGUUGAUGAGGUUGAUGUGUUGAUGUGGAUGAUGUGUUGAUGAGGGUGAUGUGUUGAUGAGGAUGAUGUGUUGAUGAGGACGAUGUGUUGAUGAGGACGACGUGUUGAUGAGGACGAUGUGUUGAUGGGGAUGAUGUGUUGAUGAGGUUGAUGUGUUGAUGAGGACGAUGUGUUGAUGAGGAUGAUGUGUUGAUGAGGAUGAUGUGUUGAUGGAUGAUGCGGCUAAACAGUUUGACACAAUCAGUUCUGAGGUAGAGCCUCUACUGAUUGAAGAUAGGUUUCUCACAGCCUUUUACAGGACUCUAAAAGUCAGAGAGGUCCAAUUACUAGAUAGGUUUCUCACAGCCUUUUACAGGACUCUAAAAGUCAGAGAGGUCCAG